UGCCAGCCGCCGCGGUAAUACGGGGGGUGCAAGCGUUAUUCGGAAUUAUUGGGCGUAAAGGGCGCGCAGGCGGUCUUGUCCGUCAGGUGUGAAAGCUCGGGGCUCAACCCCGGAAGUGCACUUGAAACAGCAAGACUUGAAUACGGUAGAGGAGAGAGGAAUUCCUGGUGUAGAGGUGAAAUUCGUAGAUAUCAGGAGGAACGCCGGAGGCGAAAGCGGUUCUCUGGGCCGAUAUUGACGCUGAGGCGCGAAGGCGUGGGUAGCGAACGGGAUUAGAUA
RNAcentral lists this ribosomal RNA (279 nucleotides) under uncultured bacterium. RNAcentral's name for it is "partial 16S ribosomal RNA". It matches the Rfam family "Bacterial small subunit ribosomal RNA", at positions 506 to 784 of the family's 1533-position model. The record is from RNAcentral.